RNAcentral lists this ribosomal RNA (425 nucleotides) under uncultured bacterium. RNAcentral's name for it is "bacterial SSU rRNA". It matches the Rfam family "Bacterial small subunit ribosomal RNA", at positions 8 to 433 of the family's 1533-position model. The record is from RNAcentral.
AGAGUUUGAUCCUGGCUCAGAUUGAACGCUGGCGGAAUGCUUUACACAUGCAAGUCGAACGGCAGCACGGGUGCUUGCACCUGGUGGCGAGUGGCGAACGGGUGAGUAAUGCGUCGGAACGUACCGAGUAAUGGGGGAUAACGCAGCGAAAGUUGUGCUAAUACCGCAUACGCCCUGAGGGGGAAAGUGGGGGACCGCAAGGCCUCACGUUAUUCGAGCGGCCGACGUCUGAUUAGCUAGUUGGUGGGGUAAAGGCCUACCAAGGCGACGAUCAGUAGCGGGUCUGAGAGGAUGAUCCGCCACACUGGGACUGAGACACGGCCCAGACUCCUACGGGAGGCAGCAGUGGGGAAUUUUGGACAAUGGGGGCAACCCUGAUCCAGCCAUUCCGCGUGAGUGAAGAAGGCCUUCGGGUUGUAAAGCUC